Molecule: ribosomal RNA, 729 nt
Filed under: uncultured soil bacterium
Lineage: Bacteria
Description: bacterial SSU rRNA
Rfam family: Bacterial small subunit ribosomal RNA
Source: RNAcentral
UUACACAUGCAAGUCGAACGGCAGCACGGGAGCAAUCCUGGUGGCGAGUGGCGAACGGGUGAGUAAUAUAUCGGAACGUGCCCAGUCGUGGGGGAUAACGUAGCGAAAGCUACGCUAAUACCGCAUACGAUCUAUGGAUGAAAGCGGGGGAUCGCAAGACCUCGCGCGAUUGGAGCGGCCGAUAUCAGAUUAGCUAGUUGGUGGGGUAAAAGCCCACCAAGGCGACGAUCUGUAGCUGGUCUGAGAGGACGACCAGCCACACUGGAACUGAGACACGGUCCAGACUCCUACGGGAGGCAGCAGUGGGGAAUUUUGGACAAUGGGCGAAAGCCUGAUCCAGCAAUGCCGCGUGCAGGACGAAGGCCUUCGGGUUGUAAACUGCUUUUGUACGGAACGAAACGGUCUCCUCUAAUACGGGGGGCUAAUGACGGUACCGUAAGAAUAAGCACCGGCUAACUACGUGCCAGCAGCCGCGGUAAUACGUAGGGUGCAAGCGUUAAUCGGAAUUACUGGGCGUAAAGCGUGCGCAGGCGGUUUUAUAAGUCUGUCGUGAAAUCCCCGGGCUCAACCUGGGAAUGGCGAUGGAGACUGUAAGGCUAGAGUUUGGCAGAGGGGGGUAGAAUUCCACGUGUAGCAGUGAAAUGCGUAGAGAUGUGGAGGAACACCGAUGGCGAAGGCAGCCCCCUGGGUCAAAACUGACGCUCAUGCACGAAAGCGUGGGGAGCAAAC